This 628-nucleotide ribosomal RNA is filed under the name uncultured bacterium. RNAcentral describes it as "bacterial SSU rRNA". It matches the Rfam family "Bacterial small subunit ribosomal RNA", at positions 201 to 847 of the family's 1533-position model. The record is from RNAcentral.
GAAAAGGAGCAAUCCGCUUUGAGAUGGCCUCGCGUCCGAUUAGCUAGUUGGUGAGGUAACGGCCCACCAAGGCGACGAUCGGUAGCCGGACUGAGAGGUUGAACGGCCACAUUGGGACUGAGACACGGCCCAGACUCCUACGGGAGGCAGCAGUGGGGAAUAUUGCACAAUGGGGGAAACCCUGAUGCAGCGACGCCGCGUGGAGGAAGAAGGUCUUCGGAUUGUAAACUCCUGUUGUUGAGGAAGAUAAUGACGGUACUCAACAAGGAAGUGACGGCUAACUACGUGCCAGCAGCCGCGGUAAAACGUAGGUCACAAGCGUUGUCCGGAAUUACUGGGUGUAAAGGGAGCGCAGGCGGGAGAACAAGUUGGAAGUGAAAUCCAUGGGCUCAACCCAUGAACUGCUUUCAAAACUGUUUUUCUUGAGUAGUGCAGAGGUAGGCGGAAUUCCCGGUGUAGCGGUGGAAUGCGUAGAUAUCGGGAGGAACACCAGUGGCGAAGGCGGCCUACUGGGCACCAACUGACGCUGAGGCUCGAAAGUGUGGGUAGCAAACAGGAUUAGAUACCCUGGUAGUCCACACCGUAAACGAUGAUUACUAGGUGUUGGAGGAUUGACCCCUUCAGUGCC